AGAGUUUGAUCCUGGCUCAGGAUGAACGCUAGCUACAGGCUUAACACAUGCAAGUCGAGGGGCAGCAUGGUCUUAGCUUGCUAAGGCCGAUGGCGACCGGCGCACGGGUGAGUAACACGUAUCCAACCUGCCGUCUACUCUUGGACAGCCUUCUGAAAGGAAGAUUAAUACAAGAUGGCAUCAUGAGUCCGCAUGUUCACAUGAUUAAAGGUAUUCCGGUAGACGAUGGGGAUGCGUUCCAUUAGAUAGUAGGCGGGGUAACGGCCCACCUAGUCUUCGAUGGAUAGGGGUUCUGAGAGGAAGGUCCCCCACAUUGGAACUGAGACACGGUCCAAACUCCUACGGGAGGCAGCAGUGAGGAAUAUUGGUCAAUGGGCGAGAGCCUGAACCAGCCAAGUAGCGUGAAGGAUGACUGCCCUAUGGGUUGUAAACUUCUUUUAUAAAGGAAUAAAGUCGGGUAUGGAUACCCGUUUGCAUGUACUUUAUGAAUAAGGAUCGGCUAACUCCGUGCCAGCAGCCGCGGUAAUACGGAGGAUCCGAGCGUUAUCCGGAUUUAUUGGGUUUAAAGGGAGCGUAGAUGGAUGUUUAAGUCAGUUGUGAAAGUUUGCGGCUCAACCGUAAAAUUGCAGUUGAUACUGGAUAUCUUGAGUGCAGUUGAGGCAGGCGGAAUUCGUGGUGUAGCGGUGAAAUGCUUAGAUAUCACGAAGAACUCCGAUUGCGAAGGCAGCCUGCUAAGCUGCAACUGACAUUGAGGCUCGAAAGUGUGGGUAUCAAACAGGAUUAGAUACCCUGGUAGUCCACACGGUAAACGAUGAAUACUCGCUGUUUGCGAUAUACUGCAAGCGGCCAAGCGAAAGCGUUAAGUAUUCCACCUGGGGAGUACGCCGGCAACGGUGAAACUCAAAGGAAUUGACGGGGGCCCGCACAAGCGGAGGAACAUGUGGUUUAAUUCGAUGAUACGCGAGGAACCUUACCCGGGCUUAAAUUGCAGAUGAAUUACGGUGAAAGCCGUAAGCCGCAAGGCAUCUGUGAAGGUGCUGCAUGGUUGUCGUCAGCUCGUGCCGUGAGGUGUCGGCUUAAGUGCCAUAACGAGCGCAACCCUUGUUGUCAGUUACUAACAGGUUCCGCUGAGGACUCUGACAAGACUGCCAUCGUAAGAUGUGAGGAAGGUGGGGAUGACGUCAAAUCAGCACGGCCCUUACGUCCGGGGCUACACACGUGUUACAAUGGGGGGUACAGAGGGCCGCUACCACGCGAGUGGAUGCCAAUCCCCAAAACCUCUCUCAGUUCGGACUGGAGUCUGCAACCCGACUCCACGAAGCUGGAUUCGCUAGUAAUCGCGCAUCAGCCACGGCGCGGUGAAUACGUUCCCGGGCCUUGUACACACCGCCCGUCAAGCCAUGGGAGCCGGGGGUACCUGAAGUGCGUAACCGCGAGGAGCGCCCUAGGGUAAAACUGGUGACUGGGGCUAAGUCGUAACAAGGUAGCCG
RNAcentral lists this ribosomal RNA (1490 nucleotides) under uncultured bacterium. RNAcentral describes it as "16S ribosomal RNA". It matches the Rfam family "Bacterial small subunit ribosomal RNA". The record is from RNAcentral.